Molecule: ribosomal RNA, 208 nt
Filed under: uncultured Succinivibrionaceae bacterium
Lineage: Bacteria; Pseudomonadati; Pseudomonadota; Gammaproteobacteria; Aeromonadales; Succinivibrionaceae
Description: partial 16S ribosomal RNA
Rfam family: Bacterial small subunit ribosomal RNA
Source: RNAcentral
CAUGCAGGCGGUUAUACAAGUAGGAUGUGAAAGCCUGGGGCUCAACCUCAGAACUGCAUUCUAAACUGUGUGACUAGAGUAUUGCAGGGGGGAGACGGAAUUUCAGGUGUAGCGGUGGAAUGCGUAGAUAUCUGAAAGAACACCAAAGGCGAAGGCAGUCUCCUGGGCAAAUACUGACGCUCAUAUGCGAAAGCGUGGGUAGCAAACA